AACGAACGCUGGCGGCAUGCCUAACACAUGCAAGUCGAACAAGACCUUCGGGUCUAGUGGCGCACGGGUGCGUAACGCGUGGGAACCUGCCCUUAGGUUCGGAAUAACUCCCCGAAAGGGGUGCUAAUACCGGAUAAUGUCUUCGGACCAAAGAUUUAUCGCCUUUGGAUGGGCCCGCGUUGGAUUAGCUAGUUGGUAGGGUAAAAGCCUACCAAGGCGACGAUCCAUAGCUGGUCUGAGAGGAUGAUCAGCCACACUGGGACUGAGACACGGCCCAGACUCCUACGGGAGGCAGCAGUGGGGAAUAUUGGACAAUGGGCGAAAGCCUGAUCCAGCAAUGCCGCGUGAGUGAUGAAGGCCUUAGGGUUGUAAAGCUCUUUUACCCGGGAUGAUAAUGACAGUACCGGGAGAAUAAGCUCCGGCUAACCCCGUG
This 433-nucleotide ribosomal RNA is filed under the name uncultured bacterium. Its description in RNAcentral is "partial 16S ribosomal RNA". It matches the Rfam family "Bacterial small subunit ribosomal RNA", at positions 29 to 507 of the family's 1533-position model. The record is from RNAcentral.